UGUUUAGCAGGCUUGUUGAAAACUAAUUAAGGAUAUAUGUAUCCAUUUGUAAAUUGUAUAUGAGCUGUUUGCUAUGAAACACAAAUAGCUUUUUCCCAUGAAUGAAUAUUUAAUUGAGGUCCAGACUCAUCCCCACAGUAGGAGCAACUUAAGGCCAGCAGUAUAUACAAUUAUAAAACAAUUUGGAGUAAAAAAAAAAAAAAAAAAAAUCCUCUGAGACACCUUGGUACCCUGCCAAACUGAGAUUUAGUAAGUCACUGGUGCUCUGUAGCCAAGGUGGUUUGAAAAUGUACUUCACACAAGGCAAAAGCCCAAGAAGGAAGCUAAGGGUCUGUAACAUCUGCUUCAACCUGUCAGUUGUUUCUCGCUCCUUCCACAGAAGACAAUUCUGCCUUUGCUGCCUGGAGCAGUUUGUGAGGGAGGACACCGUGAGGACACCGUUUGGAUCUUUUCUGAUGCAGGACCUGAAAACACAGGGGUGUCUUUUUUUCUUACCAGCCCUUGAUAUCUUUCAGGGUCUCCCCUGGCUUGUAUCAUUUCCAUUUGCUGGCUGUUACUCACU
This is a long non-coding RNA of Oxyura jamaicensis (ruddy duck), 562 nucleotides long. RefSeq lists it as uncharacterized. The transcript has 4 exons. NCBI's taxonomy places the organism in Eukaryota, Metazoa, Chordata, Aves, Anseriformes, Anatidae. The record is from RefSeq and is a predicted model, not a curated record.